RNAcentral lists this signal recognition particle RNA (306 nucleotides) under Homo sapiens (human). Its description in RNAcentral is "HSALNT0376831". It matches the Rfam family "Metazoan signal recognition particle RNA". Rfam says of the family: The signal recognition particle (SRP) is a universally conserved ribonucleoprotein. The record is from RNAcentral. Lineage: Eukaryota; Metazoa; Chordata; Mammalia; Primates; Hominidae.
CCGACCGCCGGGCGCGGUGGCGCGUGCCUGUAGUCCCAGCUACUCGGGAGGCUGAGGUGGGAGGAUCGCUUGAGCCCAGGAGUUCUGGGCUGUAGUGCGCUAUGCCGAUCGGGUGUCCGCACUAAGUUCGGCAUCAAUAUGGUGACCUCCCGGGAGCGGGGGACCACCAGGUUGCCUAAGGAGGGGUGAACCGGCCCAGGUCGGAAACGGAGCAGGUCGGAAACGGAGCAGGUCAAAACUCCCGUGCUGAUCAGUAGUGGGAUUGCGCCUGUGAAUAGCCACUGCACUCCAGCCUGGGCAACAUAG